Molecule: ribosomal RNA, 482 nt
Filed under: uncultured bacterium
Lineage: Bacteria
Description: partial 16S ribosomal RNA
Rfam family: Bacterial small subunit ribosomal RNA
Source: RNAcentral
GAUGAACGCUAGCGGCAGGCCUAAUACAUGCAAGUCGGACGGGAUUCAGGAGCUUGCUUCUGAUGAGAGUGGCGCACGGGUGCGUAACACGUAUGUAACCUACCUUUAUCAGGGGGAUAGCCUCUCGAAAGAGAGAUUAAGCCCGCAUAAAAUCACAGCACAGCAUUGUGUAAUGAUCAAAUAUUUAUAGGAUAAAGAUGGGCAUGCGGAACAUUAGCUAGAUGGCGGGGUAACGGCCCACCAUGGCGACGAUGUUUAGGGGAUCUGAGAGGAUGGCCCCCCACACUGGUACUGAGACACGGACCAGACUCCUACGGGAGGCAGCAGUAAGGAAUAUUGGUCAAUGGGCGGAAGCCUGAACCAGCCAUGCCGCGUGCAGGAAGACGGCCAUACGGGUUGUAAACUGCUUUUAUACGGGAAUAAACCCAGAUACGUGUAUCUGGCUGAAGGUACUGUAAGAAUAAGGAUCGGCUAACUCCGUG